GAUGAACGCUGGCGGCGUGCUUAACACAUGCGAGUCGAACGGUGAACACGGAGCUUGCUCUGUGGGAUCAGUGGCGAACGGGUGAGUAACACGUGAGCAACCUGCCCCUGACUCUGGGAUAAGCGCUGGAAACGGCGUCUAAUACUGGAUAUGUGACGUGACCGCAUGGUCUGCGUUUGGAAAGAUUUUUCGGUUGGGGAUGGGCUCGCGGCCUAUCAGCUUGUUGGUGAGGUAAUGGCUCACCAAGGCGUCGACGGGUAGCCGGCCUGAGAGGGUGACCGGCCACACUGGGACUGAGACACGGCCCAGACUCCUACGGGAGGCAGCAGUGGGGAAUAUUGCACAAUGGGCGCAAGCCUGAUGCAGCAACGCCGCGUGAGGGAUGACGGCCUUCGGGUUGUAAACCUCUUUUAGCAGGGAAGAAGCGAAAGUGACGGUACCUGCAGAAAAAGCGCCGGCUAACUACGUG
Molecule: ribosomal RNA, 469 nt
Filed under: uncultured bacterium
Lineage: Bacteria
Description: partial 16S ribosomal RNA
Rfam family: Bacterial small subunit ribosomal RNA
Source: RNAcentral